Molecule: long non-coding RNA, 1112 nt
Organism: Mus musculus (house mouse)
Lineage: Eukaryota; Metazoa; Chordata; Mammalia; Rodentia; Muridae
Exons: 3
Source: RefSeq, a predicted model, not a curated record
GUAACCAACAGGAACAGAAAGGGUUAAGAGCAUCACCCACUCCCCACCUGCUCAUCUUUCACUUCCUCCCUCUGAGCUAGGAAACUAUGGGGACCUGACCUAAGUAGGACUUGUGGUCUCAGGCCAGAGCUGUCUUCAACCACAAGACUGGGGAGAUGAGCAAUUGACAGGAUCAGGUUUGAACUUACUCUUAAUGAUCUUUCUUGGACAGAGCUGUCCUUUAGAGUGAGCUUUAGAAAGAGAAGAGAGGUCAGAAGUCACAAUGAACCAGCCACUCCUACAGGAGCUCACAGGAAGUCCACACAGCACCAGAGAAGCUCUGGGACAGAAGCAAGGAAAUGAAGUGGAGUGUGGAGUUAGGGCGACCAUAGAACUCUCUGAUAGCUAGCCUACUGCAGAGAAGGCUGCUGUAGUGGCUAUUCCUGGUUGUCAACUUGACAAUAUUUGGAAUGAACUACAAUCCGGAGUUGGAAGGCUCACCAGUGACCAUUAUCUGGAGGCUUGGAGAUCCUUAUCUGGAUCUUGGUUUGAAGAUUUUGAGCCAUAGUGGCUAUGGAUUCCAGAAGAUAGAAUCUCUGAGUUUAAGGAACACACCUUUAAUCUGGGCUAUGCCUUUCAUCUGGGAUUAAAGGUGUGGUGGAACACACCUUUAAUCUGGGCUAUGCCUUUCAUCUGGGAUUAAAGGUUUGGUGGAACACACCUUUAAUCUGGGCUACACCUUCUGCUGGAGACAAUAUAAGGACAUUGGAAGAAGGGAGUCUAGAUCUUGCUCCUUCGCCUGCUUGCUGCGUGAGACUGAAUAACUGCUAGAUCCUUGGACUUCCAUUCACAGCUGCGACUGAACAAUUGUUGGGAAUUGGGCUGCCGACUCCUGACUCCCCGCGGGACUUCCAAGGCAGCAUAACUUCAGGUCCAGACUGGGCUGUCAGGCUUUUCCAGGAAGGAUCCAGGAACCCCUUAACUAAUCCAGGCAGUGACCUGGGAGAACUCGGGAGAACCCGUGGCAGCCCCCAGCAUCCAGAAUUUGGGGACAGUGUCCAGUGCCUAUUCCCGAGGUUGGACCUUGCAAGUGUCCACGGUGGGCGGUGCCGUUAUCAUCUUCCAACACUUGC